UCCAUGCCGUAAACGAUGUCUACUAGCCGUUGGGGCCUUUGAGGCUUUAGUGGCGCAGCUAACGCGAUAAGUAGACCGCCUGGGGAGUACGGUCGCAAGACUAAAACUCAAAUGAAUUGACGGGGGCCCGCACAAGCGGUGGAGCAUGUGGUUUAAUUCGAUGCAACGCGAAGAACCUUACCUGGUCUUGACAUAGUAAGAACUUUCCAGAGAUGGAUUGGUGCCUUCGGGAACUUACAUACAGGUGCUGCAUGGCUGUCGUCAGCUCGUGUCGUGAGAUGUUGGGUUAAGUCCCGCAACGAGCGCAACCCUUUUCUAUUUGCCAGCGGGUUAAGCCGGGAACUUUAAGGAUACUGCCAGUGACAAACUGGAGGAAGGCGGGGACGACGUCAAGUCAUCAUGGCCCUUACGACCAGGGCUACACACGUGCUACAAUGGUCGGUACAAAGGGUUGCUACCUCGCGAGAGGAUGCUAAUCUAC
This 481-nucleotide ribosomal RNA is filed under the name uncultured bacterium. RNAcentral's name for it is "bacterial SSU rRNA". It matches the Rfam family "Bacterial small subunit ribosomal RNA", at positions 794 to 1276 of the family's 1533-position model. The record is from RNAcentral.